GAUUAACGCUGGCGGCGUGCAUAACACAUGCCAGUCGAACGAUGAAACUUAAAUGAUUUCUUCGGAAUGAACUUAAGUGGAUUAGUGGCGGACGGGUGAGUAACGCGUGAGUAACCUGCCUUACACAAGGGGAUAGCCGUUGGAAACGACGAAUAAUACCCUAUGAAACUAUCACUUCGCAUGAAGCGAUAGUCAAAGUGUUAGCGGUGUAAGAUGGACUUGCGUCUGAUUAGCUAGUUGGUGAGAAAAAAGCCCACCAAGGCAACGAUCAGUAGCCGGCUUGAGAGAGUGUACGGCCACAUUGGGACUGAGACACGGCCCAGACUCCUACGGGAGGCAGCAGUGGGGAAUUUUGCACAAUGGGGGAAACCCUGAAGCAGCGACGCCGCGUGAUUUAGAAGGCCUUCGGGUUGUAAAAAUCUUUUGUAUAGGAAGAAAAUGACAGUACUAUACGAAUAAGGUCCGGCUAAUUACGUG
RNAcentral lists this ribosomal RNA (477 nucleotides) under uncultured bacterium. Its description in RNAcentral is "partial 16S ribosomal RNA". It matches the Rfam family "Bacterial small subunit ribosomal RNA", at positions 28 to 507 of the family's 1533-position model. The record is from RNAcentral.